GAUGAAGAACGUAGCGAAAUGCGAUAAGUAAUGUGAAUUGCAGAAUUCAGUGAAUCAUCGAAUCUUUGAACGCACCUUGCGCUCCUUGGUAUUCCGAGGAGCAUGCCUGUUUGAGUGUCAUGAAAUUCUCAACCUUUUCAGCUUUCUUUGUUGAUCAGGCUUGGAUGUGGGAGUAUGCGGGCUUCUCAGAAGUCGGCUCUCCUGAAAUGCAUUAGCGGGACCUUUGUUGCCUGGCUUUGGUGUGAUAAUUAUCUACGCCAUUGUAGUCAAGCAGCUUAAAAUGAGGUUUCAGCUUCUAACCGUCUCCCCUGAGACAACUUUUUGACAAUUUUACCUCAAAUCAGGUAGGACUACCCGCUGAACUUAAGCAUAUCAAUAAGCGGAGGA
This 387-nucleotide unclassified non-coding RNA is filed under the name soil metagenome. RNAcentral's name for it is "partial contains 5.8S ribosomal RNA, internal transcribed spacer 2, and large subunit ribosomal RNA". The stretch from base 1 to 120 matches the Rfam family "5.8S ribosomal RNA", at positions 35 to 154 of the family's 154-position model. The record is from RNAcentral.